AGAGUUUGAUCCUGGCUCAGGACGAACGCUGGCGGCGUGCUUAACACAUGCAAGUCGAGCGAGGCUCCUCCUUCGGGAGGAUGUCCUAGCGGCGAACGGGUGAGUAACACGUGGGCAACCUGCCCCUAGCACUGGGAUAACCCCGGGAAACCGGGGCUAAUACCGGAUACGAACCCCGCAGGCAUCUGCGGAGUUGGAAAGGGUUACUGGCUAGGGAUGGGCCCGCGGCCUAUCAGCUUGUUGGUGGGGUAACGGCCUACCAAGGCUCCGACGGGUAGCCGGCCUGAGAGGGCGACCGGCCACACUGGGACUGAGACACGGCCCAGACUCCUACGGGAGGCAGCAGUGGGGAAUAUUGCACAAUGGGCGAAAGCCUGAUGCAGCGACGCCGCGUGAGGGAUGACGGCCUUCGGGUUGUAAACCUCUUUCAGCUCCGACGAAGCGAAAGGACGUAGAGCAGAAAAGC
RNAcentral lists this ribosomal RNA (466 nucleotides) under uncultured Actinomycetes bacterium. RNAcentral's name for it is "bacterial SSU rRNA". It matches the Rfam family "Bacterial small subunit ribosomal RNA", at positions 8 to 491 of the family's 1533-position model. The record is from RNAcentral. Lineage: Bacteria; Bacillati; Actinomycetota; Actinomycetes.